GAUGAACGCUAGCUGCAGGCUUAACACAUGCAAGUCGAGGGGCAGCGGUAUCGAAAGCUUGCUUUCGGUAGCCGGCGACCGGCGCACGGGUGAGUAACGCGUAUCGAACCUGCCUCAUACUCGGGAAUAGCCUUGCGAAAGUAAGAUUAAUGCCCGGUGUUUUCAGAGUCCCGCAUGAGGCUUUGAACAAAGAUUUAUCGGUAUGAGAUGGCGAUGCGUCCCAUUAGCUUGUUGGCGGGGUAACGGCCCACCAAGGCAUCGAUGGGUAGGGGUUCUGAGAGGAAGGUCCCCCACAUUGGAACUGAGACACGGUCCAAACUCCUACGGGAGGCAGCAGUGAGGAAUAUUGGUCAAUGGGCGGAAGCCUGAACCAGCCAAGUAGCGUGCAGGAAGACGGCCCUCCGGGUUGUAAACUGCUUUUAGUUGGGAAUAAAACGGGGCUCGUGAGCCCCCUUGCAUGUACCAUCAGAAAAAGGACCGGCUAAUUCCGUG
Molecule: ribosomal RNA, 492 nt
Filed under: uncultured bacterium
Lineage: Bacteria
Description: partial 16S ribosomal RNA
Rfam family: Bacterial small subunit ribosomal RNA
Source: RNAcentral